RNAcentral lists this ribosomal RNA (450 nucleotides) under uncultured Glomeromycotina. Its description in RNAcentral is "SSU rRNA". It matches the Rfam family "Eukaryotic small subunit ribosomal RNA", at positions 569 to 1017 of the family's 1831-position model. Lineage: Eukaryota; Fungi; Glomeromycota. The record is from RNAcentral.
AGCAGCCGCGGUAAUUCCAGCUCCAAUAGCGUAUAUUAAAGUUGUUGCAGUUAAAAAGCUCGUAGUUGAAUUUCGGGAUUGACACAUCGGUCGUGCCUUAAGGGGUAUGAACUGGUGUAGUCAAUUUCUCACCUUCUGGAGAACCACGAUGCCCUUAAUUGGGUGUCGCGGGGAACCAGGACCUUUACUUUGAAAAAAUUAGAGUGUUUAAAGCAGGCAUUUUGCUUGAAUACAUUAGCAUGGAAUAAUAAAAUAGGACGGCAUGAUUCUAUUUUGUUGGUUUCUAGGAUCACCGUAAUGAUUAAUAGGGAUAGUUGGGGGCAUUAGUAUUCAAUUGUCAGAGGUGAAAUUCUUGGAUUUAUUGAAGACUAACUACUGCGAAAGCAUUUGCCAAGGAUGUUUUCAUUAAUCAAGAACGAAAGUUAGGGGAUCGAAGACGAUCAGAUACCG